Lactuca sativa (garden lettuce) is the source of this 3379-nucleotide non-coding RNA. The record is from RefSeq and is a predicted model, not a curated record. NCBI's taxonomy places the organism in Eukaryota, Viridiplantae, Streptophyta, Magnoliopsida, Asterales, Asteraceae.
UUCUCUUUUCCUUCCAUUUCUUUUGGAUUCUCCUUAAUUUUAAAUCAACAUAGAGUGGACCUAUAGAGAGGGAAGAGCGAAAACUCGAAGACAGGAUGUAUACUGUCGCUAAAGAGGAGGGAAAAAACAGAGACGGCCGCAAAAGGUGCAAAUACAAGCGCCUAGCGGGAAGAUCGCGGUUUCUGAUUUUAGUCAAUGACAAGCGACAAGUAUUCCUUUUUACGAAUCCGUCCUUGAUUUUCGUUUAUGUUUUUAUGCUUUUUAUCGUCGAUGCAUACACAAAUUUAGAUCGCUGCAAGAACUUUGAUAUUUUAGGGUUACGGGUUUCAUCCGUUUAAUAAUCAACCAGGUAAGAGUGAUCUGGAGUUAUUUUACAAGUAUAUGAAGUGUAUCUCAGUAUCCUCCACAUGAGACAUCUCCUGUAAUCUUUAUGUGUCCGUGAUUGAUUAGUAAGUAUAAAAGUUAUUAUGGUCGUUUUAGCUUAAGUUUGAUCUGCAAUCUCUAUGCAGAUAUUGGAUUUACCAUUGUUGCGUUCUUUGUUUGGAGUCCUAUCGAAUGAGUGUUUAAAGACCACUUAGCAACGGUGGUGAAGUAUUUUUUAGUUGAGAACCUCAUAGUAUGAGGAUCCAAUGUUAUUAGCAAAAGUAGCAACAGAUAAUAAUAUCUGUCUUGUGACAAAACUGUAAAACAUGUUGGAAGCCAAAUUAAUUUGGAUAUCACUUGCAGAAAACAGUGGCUCCCGAUAAACUGUAUUAUUUGAAAGCUGUUAGAAAAUACAUACAUGUAUCAGAAAGCAAAAAGAACCUACUCUUUCAUCUGUAAAUGGCUAACUGGGAAAUGAAAUAAUGAUGAUAACAAUCUUACAUCAAAUUCUCUCUGCUAAGUUACAUACGUCAUGACAGUUGAAAUGUACAACAAUUGGUUAGUCUCUGAAAUGUUUUCCCUAAGGCUAUUCGUUAACCUGGAGCUUUAUAUUUGUUUUAUGAUUCAUAGCUCAAUUAUUUGGCUUCAUUCUUUAUCUUGAUCAACUUGCUUGCUGGAAAGUGUAACCUAGCCAUCAGAGGUCUAGGAGCCCUAGUUUUCCGAUCAAAUCCCCUCACACAAACAAAUCCUGCAACCAUUCCAAAGUUAAAUUACCAGACAUUCGAUCAUUAUGAGCUAUGUUUGGGAAUUGAAGUGAUACAUACCUUUCCAAAAGCAGUAUUGAAUCCCCUGAGUAGAUAGCCCUAGAAUAUAAAGGUUUUUUUCUUGUUAACUUUUAGUUAAAAACACAUGUCAACUUUAGAAGAGAUGUAACAUAAGGUUUUUGAAGUUGUACCCCUGAAGAUUGUUGAUACAGAAGUCCCAAAGUACACUGUUCGUCUUGGUAAAUUCCAAAUCCAUGCCCUUGGCACAUCAAUCGGGUUCAGGCUUGAUGCAUGAUCUGCAAACAUCUGCAUAGUGCACAUAUAUAUGUAUUUGAAGAUAGUCCUAAAAAGAAGUAGUUUAGAAUUUACAGAUUUGCAUUAUUGUAUAUAAUAUAUACCUCAUUAACUUGGAAAUAUGUUCCAUUGAGUGGAAAGCUCCCUCUCAUUGCUGUUCUACAUGGUAUCUGUUUUGAAACUAGUUAAUAACUACUUGAUCUAACUUGUUUUACUUCAUGGUUACAAUAUUUAUCGUGUAUUAGUAUUAUAUAGUUAAAACUACUCACUAGAAUAGUUCCUCUAACCACUUGUGAAUUAGCUUCCUUUAUGCUAUUGCAUGAAAAACAAGUUGUCUUCUCACACAACCUCCCUGAUUCUUGGGCAGAACAUUCUCUUUCUGGUGGCUGUAUUGAGUUUGCAGUUUCACCAGGUGUCCAUAUUGCUAGGAGGUAGGGGCUCGGGUCAUCAGGUUCCCUUUUUUCCAACUGAAAAUAGUACAAAAUAGUGGAAGUUAGUUUAUAAGGUAUUAGCUAUGUGUCAAUUGACUAGUCAACAACAAAGUCACUAACCCCUUCCAAAAGGCGAUGUGAAUCUGGAAGUUCAUACCUGUAUGAUAUAGACUUACAAGCUGUCAUUAUUUUAACAAGGUAAUUUUUUUUUGAUAAUUUUAGGAGUUAUUUAUAAAGACUUACACUUGAUGCUCUGUUCUUAGGCGACUAACAUCUUUCAGUUUAGGUGUAGGGAUGUAAGCAGCAUUAGGGCUCAAUGCAACUAAUGCUUUUGACAUAUCAUCUUGAAGUAGUUUCUUGUCUUGCAUUAUGCUUUGUAAAUUGGUUGUGAAUUCUUCCAUGUUGAGUUUGAUAGUUGGGAUUUCAUCCGAAUCUUCAUAGUAUUGUUCCUCAAUGUCACUUAGUGUUAGUUCCGUGGCUUCUGGCUCAGGUGUUGUUGGUUCUUCAAUAAUUGGUUCACAUUUCUUCUCAAAAUCACCUUCACUUUUAUUCUCAGCUUCAGGCAGUGGCAUAGGCGUAAUAACCACAUGUGGUACUGGAUCUGUUGGAAUAGGAGCAUUUGAAGCCACUAUCUUUUUUCCCUCUGGACCUGGUAGUGCAAGCCUUGCACUGCACCAUUAUAGAUGAAUGCUUCAUUUUUUAAACCAUUAAAAAAAGAAAAAAUAUAUAUAUACAUGUGGAUAAUAGAUUCAUGUACCUUGCAAAAGCACUGGCAAAGUGUCUACAUUCAGCUCUCAUUGGACAUGCAUUGCAGUUUGGUUUACUUUUUGUGCAAAAAACCUUUCCAAAUGUAAUCAUCUGGUAGUGUAGCUCAUAUCUAUCAAAGAAGCACAUAUUAGUGAUUAUCUUUUUUAUAUUUUAUGAUGUCUGUAUAGUUACAAACUUACAAUGUUAAUUGAUCCAGCUUGCACAGUCUAGGCCAAAGAUAUUUCUGAAUGGAAUCCAACACUGGAUACAUCUCAAGAAGAUGCAGUUGUAGGGACUCUGGUAGUGGUUGCAGAGGAACCCACCCCAGUCUCACUGCUAUCCUCCCAACAUUUGUGUCCACCUGGCAAACAUGAUAUCAUGAAUAUACAAGAGGAAGGCAAGAUGAUGAAGUGUCAAUAGGCGAACACACUCCACACUUUUCAGCCCCAAUCCUCGAAAACUCAGUGGUGCAUCUCUCAACCAUUCUAGAUCAAUCUUUCCAUGAUCUCUCACCAGGCGAUUGAGAAAGUUCUGCAUCCUUUCAGCUAACAGGUUGUUCAUUCCACGUUCUUUAAUAGCAUCAGAAAUUUCAUUCACAGGUGCAUGUCUGAAUGCUUCAUAAUCAAGGGAAUCACUUGCAUCUGUACUUUGAUCUUUCUUUUCACCAUUGGACAUCGCCUGCUUUCUCAAGCUGUCCCAGUUCAUUGCUAUGUUCCUUUCAUCAUCAGCUAUCCGUUUUUUUUCCUUGGACGUAUUUGCCCCUGCCCCACUUGUUGAUUC